AGCAGCCGCGGUAAUUCCAGCUCCAAUAGCGUAUAUUAAAGUUGUUGCAGUUAAAAAGCUCGUAGUUGAAUUUCGGGAUUGGCGCAUCGGUCGUGCCUUACGGGGUAUGAACUGGUGCAGUCAAUUUCUCACCUUCUGGAGAACCGCGAUGUCCUUAAUUGGGUGCCGCGGGGAACCAGGACCUUUACUUUGAAAAAAUUAGAGUGUUUAAAGCAGGCAUUUUUGCUUGAAUACAUUAGCAUGGAAUAAUAAAAUAGGACGGCAUGGUUCUAUUUUGUUGGUUUCUAGGACCACCGUAAUGAUUAAUAGGGAUAGUUGGGGGCAUUAGUAUUCAAUUGUCAGAGGUGAAAUUCUUGGAUUUAUUGAAGACUAACUACUGCGAAAGCAUUUGCCAAGGAUGUUUUCAUUAAUCAAGAACGAAAGUUAGGGGGUCGAAGACGAUCAGAUACCGUCGUAGUCUUAACCAUAAACUAUGCCGACUAGGAAUCAGACGAUGUUAAUUUUUUCAAUGACUCGUUUG
Molecule: ribosomal RNA, 520 nt
Filed under: uncultured Entrophospora
Lineage: Eukaryota; Fungi; Glomeromycota; Glomeromycetes; Entrophosporales; Entrophosporaceae
Description: SSU rRNA
Rfam family: Eukaryotic small subunit ribosomal RNA
Source: RNAcentral